This 1015-nucleotide ribosomal RNA is filed under the name uncultured Halomonas sp. Its description in RNAcentral is "bacterial SSU rRNA". It matches the Rfam family "Bacterial small subunit ribosomal RNA", at positions 236 to 1239 of the family's 1533-position model. Lineage: Bacteria; Pseudomonadati; Pseudomonadota; Gammaproteobacteria; Oceanospirillales; Halomonadaceae. The record is from RNAcentral.
UCGGAUUAGCUAGUUGGUGAGGUAAUGGCUCACCAAGGCAACGAUCCGUAGCUGGUCUGAGAGGAUGAUCAGCCACAUCGGGACUGAGACACGGCCCGAACUCCUACGGGAGGCAGCAGUGGGGAAUAUUGGACAAUGGGCGAAAGCCUGAUCCAGCCAUGCCGCGUGUGUGAAGAAGGCCUUCGGGUUGUAAAGCACUUUCAGCGAGGAAGAACGCCUAGUGGUUAAUACCCAUUAGGAAAGACAUCACUCGCAGAAGAAGCACCGGCUAACUCCGUGCCAGCAGCCGCGGUAAUACGGAGGGUGCAAGCGUUAAUCGGAAUUACUGGGCGUAAAGCGCGCGUAGGUGGCUUGAUAAGCCGGUUGUGAAAGCCCCGGGCUCAACCUGGGAACGGCAUCCGGAACUGUCAAGCUAGAGUGCAGGAGAGGAAGGUAGAAUUCCCGGUGUAGCGGUGAAAUGCGUAGAGAUCGGGANNGGAAUACCAGUGGCGAAGGCGGCCUUCUGGACUGACACUGACACUGAGGUGCGAAAGCGUGGGUAGCAAACAGGAUUAGAUACCCUGGUAGUCCACGCCGUAAACGAUGUCGACCAGCCGUUGGGUGCCUAGCGCACUUUGUGGCGAAGUUAACGCGAUAAGUCGACCNGCNCUGGGGAGUACGGCCGCAAGGUUAAAACUCAAAUGAAUUGACGGGGGCCCGCACAAGCGGUGGAGCAUGUGGUUUAAUUCGAUGCAACGCGAAGAACCUUACCUACUCUUGACAUCCUGCGAACUUGUGAGAGAUCACUUGGUGCCUUCGGGAACGCAGAGACAGGUGCUGCAUGGCUGUCGUCAGCUCGUGUUGUGAAAUGUUGGGUUAAGUCCCGUAACGAGCGCAACCCUUGUCCUUAUUUGCCAGCGGGUAAUGCCGGGAACUCUAAGGAGACUGCCGGUGACAAACCGGAGGAAGGUGGGGACGACGUCAAGUCAUCAUGGCCCUUACGAGUAGGGCUACACACGUGCUACAAUGGCCGGUA